RNAcentral lists this long non-coding RNA (449 nucleotides) under Setaria viridis. RNAcentral's name for it is "long non-coding RNA (SVIR_LNC003268)". The record is from RNAcentral. Lineage: Eukaryota; Viridiplantae; Streptophyta; Magnoliopsida; Poales; Poaceae.
CAAACCCAUCCCGGCCGCACCUUCCUCCCUACCAAAAUCCCCAAGGUAAGUAGCAAAAUGGGGCCCCCUCCACUUCCUCUACCCUCCCUCUGCCCCACGGCUCGCUGCCGGCGAAGCCACGGCCGGCCGCCGCCAGCCACCUUCCCUCUCUCUCUCUCCAAGUUUCUGGAGGAAGAAGAACUGAAAUUCCGCAAAUUCCGAUCUAACCCCCACCUUUUGCCAAAUUCCAAAUAAGUCCUCCUACCACUCUCAAGCACUUCUCACAGAUAAGCCCCUCCACCUCCAGGAAUAUUUACAAAUAGGUCCCUGGUUCCUCGCAAAUCAGUCCUAAACCUCCCUUUUAAGUCCCUAAUACCUGUUUAACUCAUCAUUUCAUGCGCCAAAGUUCCUCCAAUUAUUCCCAAAUUCGACCACGUCAUCCUCUAGGAUACUUCCACCGAUCCAUAUCC